This is a long non-coding RNA of Varanus komodoensis (Komodo dragon), 5164 nucleotides long. RefSeq lists it as uncharacterized. The transcript has 4 exons. Lineage: Eukaryota; Metazoa; Chordata; Lepidosauria; Squamata; Varanidae. The record is from RefSeq and is a predicted model, not a curated record.
CGGCGGCGGCGGCUGGAGUCGCGCGCCUCUGCCAGCCCGGAGGGUGUGUACGUGAGAGUCGCGCGCCCGAGCAGGAGGAACCCGGCGCGCGCGAGCCCAGCCGCGGGAAACGUUGACGAAGAACAUGUCCGAGAAGCAGCCGGAGUCGAUGAGCGUCGCUCAGCAAAUAGAUUGCCUAGAGGACAAGCUGUCCCACUGCAGGCAGGCCUUGGAAGAGCUGGAUUUUAAGCUGCAGAGAGAAGAACUGACGCCUGAGAGAAGAGAGUCAUUGGAGAGAGAGAAAAACCUGCUAGCAACCAAAGCUGAAGUUUAUGCUUGAUCAUCCUGAGCGUAUGGACAUGUGGCUUGGAGAAAUGCAAUCAUCUACUUAUCAGACCCUUGUCUGUAGUGAAUGGAAAGAGUUGCCAAGAGAACUGGGCAGGUGGGUGAUGGUGAAAGAAGACUGUGCUCCAACUCCUCUAAAAUAAGCUAUUAUAAGACCAUAAUUGAGGAAACCAUGCUUAGAUUUCACCACCAUAACUAGUCUUAACUCUUACUUUUCCAAGUAAAUUCCUAGAACAGGUGGUAGCAACAGUACUCCAGGGUUUCUUGGAUAAAGUUGAUUAUUUGGAACCUUCCAUUGGGUUCCGUUAGGCCUGGUUUUUGCAUUGAAACAGCCUUGGCAAGGGCUUGCUACCAAGAACCAGGCUCGGGCAAGUGCUCCAGCUGGUUCUUCCAGACUUCUCAGUGGCCUUCAGUACAAUCAGCCUUUUUUGGAAUGUUUGGCAAGUAUGGGACUUUGGGGCACUGUUCUGCAGUGGUUCUAGACUUAUUUGGCUGCAUGUUCACAGGUAGUGGUGUUUGGAAAUUCUUUAGGGUAUUAUUUUGUUCCCUGCCUUUUCUAAGCUUCUGGGGAAGAAGGUCAUCCAGAGUUUUGAGGCUGAGUCUCAGUAUUAUGCUAAUGAUGCCCAGCUCUCUCUAGUUCAGUGCUUGCCAAGAAAAUGGAACCUUUCUCUGGAUGUAAGUAAGGGAUUGGAUGUGAGCUAAUAAGCUGAGACUCCAGACAAGAGGUUCUGUUGGUCAGUAAACAAACCACUCUGGGAUUGGGGAACACAGCCUAUACUGGAUGGGAUUGCGUUCCUUCUGAGGGAUUAGGGUUGCUAUUUGCAGGGCUGAGUCUGGAGGAUUGGGGUGGUGGUUGUGGCAGCGAGCAGCACCUUUGCUGGGCCUUGCCAACUAUGCUGUUUUCUAGGAAGUCCUCCCAGCCUUGAGACUUUUACCAUUUCCCGUGUUCUUGAAAAGGCAGAAAUGGGAGAUCAUCAUGAGAGUGCAGGCAUAUCUUGGCAAAUUACUUGAUAAAUAUGCUAUAUCAAUACAAAAUAGUCGAAGCACUUUAGAUAUAUUUUCCAUGGCCGUCUAAAGUUAGCAUUUAUUAUUAUCCUCAUGUUACAGAUUUGGGAAAGGGUUCAGCAAUUGAUGCUUUCCUAAAGGCACCUGAUCAAGUGCAUGAGAUUUGAUGCAGGCACUUCUGCUAAUUCUCUUAAGCCCUCACUGUGCCUCAAGGGAAACAUUAGUAUGAAUUUAAAUGCAGCACUGACCUUUUGCACUUGCACUAGAGAGGUACAGUUCCUGUCACUUUAGCAGGAAUGCCACAGGAUGCUGUUGACCUCCAAAGGGGAUUUUAGUUCCAAGAUUUGCUGCAAGUGAAAAUACUCACACCAAAAAUCUACACCUUUAAGAGUGCAGAGAGAAUGUUCCUUCAGUGAAGCUUUACAAAUUAAAGCCAUUAGCCUCUUUCAUAAAAGAGGCUGGACCUUCCUACACAACAGGUCAAACACUGUUGAUUGAAAAUCCUGCACUGUGUUUGCUUUGUAUUAAAGGGAAUGCAAGGUUAUCUGUCAAAUCCCAACACUUCUUUUGUCCAUCAGAGGAAGCUGAUGGUUUGUGAUCUCACUUGGGAGCUUGGCUUGUACGUUUCUGGUUUUGUUUAGAAUGUAAUUUUUUUAAGGAAACAAUUUUGCGAUGGCGAGGCUUCUAAGUGCUGUGUGUCCCCUGAUGAGAAAAUAAAAGAUGCUUACACACUCAGUAAAUCUCUUCUGCAUCAAACAUUGGGAAGCAUAAAUAGUACCCUUAUCAUAAGAAAAUGGCUCCUGAGAAAUUGAAUUGGGUGCUGUUAAGGGAAUGAGAGUAUGUAUGUGACAGUGAGGAAAGAGCAACAGUUUGGGGAAAGCUGCUGAUCAAGGAGAACAGGUUGUUUAUUUUGUUUCAGACGGUGGUUACAAACCCCUGUCUUGAGUAGGCACUUGGGUAACAUCCUAGGUGUGGGAACUGACCAGCAGACAGUUGCAAUAAGCAGUUGAUGGAGAGGAGAGGCGAGAGCUCAUGUAUUAAGCCAGUGCAGCCUAGGCAGGAGAAACAAAAGCAUUAGGCUGCCUCAGCACCCCCUGAAUGCAAGGACACCAAGGAAUACAAGCCCUUAGAUGCUGCGGGUGAAUGACCGUGUCUCUCACUUGUCACCAUAGCAGGAAAGCUCCAGUUCCCUAAGAAAGUUCUCAGUAUUCUGUGCCUGGAAAAAUGCCUUUCUUCUCUCAGGUACAUCCAUUACAUUUGAAAUGGGUGUGUAUACCAUGGUUAUUCUAAGGAAGCUUACUGCCCCGAAUCACAUUCUUCUCUAUGGGGGGGGGGGGGAUUUUUUGGUUCUGUGUGUUUUUGCCCUCCCAGCUAAAGGUUAGAUACUCCCCACUGAAUUGCUACCCUCUUCUAAAGUGCAAAAAAAAAAAAAAAAAAAAAGAUAGCAUGGCCACCUUCCUUGCCAAGGUUCUGCCUCAUCAUGUUAUAAUCUUUCAUCUGAGUUCUAGACUAGACUAUGUAACCCUGUUCUGCAACAGUUACAUACUUUUAGGGAACAAUCCUAUAGCCCCAAGCUAGCACUUCAGUCUUGGAGCCGGGAAUCAGAACUCCAGCCUUCCUCUUCCUCACAAAUGUGGAGGGAGGGAAGCACAUUUCAGGGGGGAGGGGGAAAACAGCUGAGGCCAGGAUAUGAACUGUCCUAACACCUCUCUGGCUGCCUUCCUUCCACCUCCAAGACACCAGCUAAAUGGAAAAAAAAGGUUACUUGCGGGAGUGGUAGGGUGGGAGAAUGGGGAGGUUGACGGCCAUAAGACACUCAAACUGGGGAACUUGUGGCCAUUCUCAUAGGAAUGCCCCCAUAAAGAAAGCAAGUUUGCAGGCAGGCAGUCUCCUCUGCAGCAAGUUCGCAACCUCUUCUGUUCAUGCACAGAGACAACACUGCUGCUAGCUGAGCCCUGGGUGAGUGCUACUUGAAUGCUUGCUCUUUCUCUUGUUUUCUGGAAAGGCCCUGGUAAUAAUGGCUUUAUUAGCCUAUUAUCUAUCCUUGGCUAUUUAGGCUGUGCUGCCACCUGCUGGAUUAUUGUGCAUCUCAGUUGUACAGACCUUCCUUUUCUUUUUCUACUUCAAUUUGAAGCUGGGCCAAAUCCCUUAUGAUUGCACACCUCUAAAUGCAUGAAGGUCUACCCCAAAAAUGUUAAAGUAGCACAUUUUCAAACAAGCAUACAGGUGAAGACUCCUGGAACUGUGAUCUGCUGUAGCUCGGUCCCUGUUGUGUUUGCAUUUUGUGGACAACCCUGAUUUGGUCAUGUGUAAAUUGGCCCUUGGCAUUGUAAAGGGCCCAGCAAGAUCAUGACCAGGAGCCUCCCUUCACAGCAAAUGUGGUUUUACUGUCUUUUAUAACAAAUGCCUGGAAGACUACUUAAAAAUAUCCUUCAGAGGAGCAUUUUGUUGGCCUUCUUGCCACAGCAUAUAUUAAGAACAGUUUAGCACUGCGAAGUUCUCCUAAUGUUUAAUUAAAAGCCAGGGAAGGGAGCUGUGCCAUCCCGAUACAUGCAUGGUUGCAGUGAAAGCUACCUUUCAGCCAGGGGCUAGAGCCCUUUGCCUGCAUUUUAAUGUCAUGGGCUCAUCUUGUAAAGCUGCCUCCAUUAGAAAGCUGGCAAAUACAAAGGGACAGCCGCCUGAGCUGUUGUAUUAACACCCAAGUCUUCCCAUUAAAAUCAUAUUCUUCUGGCAGUUGCACGCAGAGCUGAGCUCUGACCUCUGUCGCCAAUGCAGUCAGCAACAAUGAGUCUAUUGUCAAAUAAGCAGCCGUGCAGUCUAACCUCACCCAGGAAUUACAAAAGCACUGAAAUGAUCUCUGAAUAAGCUUGAUUGCUGUACAGAAGCCCAGAGGUGGUGUACAAAAGCAGCUGUAGUGCACUGUUGAAUAGCCUUUGACUUAAUUGUGAGCUAGUAUUAAUUCAUCACAAUUAUAUCCCACCCUCCUUCCUCCAGGAAUAACCAAGGUUAACCUAUUUGAUCCUCUCAUAGCAGACUAGGCUAAGAUGCCUCAUAGAAGCAAGAUCCUCAGCUCUGGGGACCAGCUAGGCUUGUCAUUCCUGCAUCUCCUGCAGGGAACCUAUGGCAGUUCCUUAUGAGCAGAUGUACUGUCUCUUUAUACAGAACCUUAGCCGGCAAGUAACAUGAAUCCUCCUUUUCUAUAGUCAGGAAAGAUGCCCUGGCACCACAGAAAAAGCCUAGAAGAUCCCACCCAUGAUUCAGACCAGGUGGGAGUUAGUUUGUGGAACCUUAAGCCUAUACCACCUAGUUCCUUUUGAAGAAGCAAGCUUACCUCUGCUCAAGACACUCUCUGAUGCACAUCUACUUAUGAGUAGAUAUUAAAAAUAAGAAACAAAAUGCUUGCAUUUGUCAGUAAGAGUAGAGCAUUAUUUGUUCUUAAGCUAAACUUCAGUUGUGCAUAGCUCUUUUUCAGGUGGAUACUUGGUUCAAAGCAUUCAUAAGAAUGUUUAGUUGCUUAAAGAUUCCCAGGUAUCUUAAAAACUUGUAAGGGCACAAUCUUAUGCAUUUCUAGAUAGAAACUAGAAAUCCUGUAACUCCCAGCAAGCCUUAGUCAAAUGUGGCUUAAAUAAUUGGACUUAAAAACAUUUCAGCCAUCACAGAGCCUAAUUCAAAUGGGUGUGCUGUGGACAGAUGUUUUACUCCCACAUACCAAAAGGAAUCCUAACACCAAAGUCUUCUUGAUCAUAGAAUCAUAGUAGAGUUGAAAGGGAUCAUGAAGGCCAUUGGGUCCAACCACCUGCUCUUGCAGGAAACCAAGUUACACCAUCCCACUCAG